GUUAGCGGCGGACGGGUGAGUAACACGUGGGUAACCUGCCUGUAAGACUGGGAUAACUCCGGGAAACCGGGGCUAAUACCGGAUGGUUGUUUGAACCGCAUGGUUCAAACAUAAAAGGUGGCUUCGGCUACCACUUACAGAUGGACCCGCGGCGCAUUAGCUAGUUGGUGAGGUAACGGCUCACCAAGGCAACGAUGCGUAGCCGACCUGAGAGGGUGAUCGGCCACACUGGGACUGAGACACGGCCCAGACUCCUACGGGAGGCAGCAGUAGGGAAUCUUCCGCAAUGGACGAAAGUCUGACGGAGCAACGCCGCGUGAGUGAUGAAGGUUUUCGGAUCGUAAAGCUCUGUUGUUAGGGAAGAACAAGUACCGUUCGAAUAGGGCGGUACCUUGACGGUACCUAACCAGAAAGCCACGGCUAACUACGUGCCAGCAGCCGCGGUAAUACGUAGGUGGCAAGCGUUGUCCGGAAUUAUUGGGCGUAAAGGGCUCGCAGGCGGUUUCUUAAGUCUGAUGUGAAAGCCCCCGGCUCAACCGGGGAGGGUCAUUGGAAACUGGGGAACUUGAGUGCAGAAGAGGAGAGUGGAAUUCCACGUGUAGCGGUGAAAUGCGUAGAGAUGUGGAGGAACACCAGUGGCGAAGGCGACUCUCUGGUCUGUAACUGACGCUGAGGAGCGAAAGCGUGGGGAGCGAACAGGAUUAGAUACCCUGGUAGUCCACGCCGUAAACGAUGAGUGCUAAGUGUUAGGGGGUUUCCGCCCCUUAGUGCUGCAGCUAACGCAUUAAGCACUCCGCCUGGGGAGUACGGUCGCAAGACUGAAACUCAAAGGAAUUGACGGGGGCCCGCACAAGCGGUGGAGCAUGUGGUUUUAAUUCGAAGCAACGCGAAGAACCUUACCAGGG
This 905-nucleotide ribosomal RNA is filed under the name Bacillus subtilis. Its description in RNAcentral is "bacterial SSU rRNA". It matches the Rfam family "Bacterial small subunit ribosomal RNA", at positions 91 to 979 of the family's 1533-position model. The record is from RNAcentral. Lineage: Bacteria; Bacillati; Bacillota; Bacilli; Caryophanales; Bacillaceae.